GCCGAGGUAGCUCAGAGGUAGAGCAACUGCAUGGUAAGCAGUAGGUCACGGGUUCAAUUCCCGUCCUCGGCUCCA
This 75-nucleotide transfer RNA is filed under the name Candidatus Berkelbacteria bacterium. RNAcentral describes it as "tRNA-Thr". It matches the Rfam family "tRNA". From Rfam's summary of the family: Transfer RNA (tRNA) molecules are approximately 80 nucleotides in length. Their secondary structure includes four short double-helical elements and three loops (D, anti-codon, and T loops). Lineage: Bacteria; Candidatus Berkelbacteria. The record is from RNAcentral.